Molecule: ribosomal RNA, 486 nt
Filed under: uncultured Winogradskyella sp.
Lineage: Bacteria; Pseudomonadati; Bacteroidota; Flavobacteriia; Flavobacteriales; Flavobacteriaceae
Description: bacterial SSU rRNA
Rfam family: Bacterial small subunit ribosomal RNA
Source: RNAcentral
GAUGAACGCUAGCGGCAGGCCUAACACAUGCAAGUCGAACGGUAACAUAGAGAAGCUUGCUUUUCUGAUGACGAGUGGCGCACGGGUGCGUAACGCGUAUACAAUCUACCUUUUACAGGGGGAUAGCCUUUAGAAAUGAAGAAUAAUACCCCAUAGUAAGUAAUUUUCGCAUGGAAGAUACUUUAAAGUUUCGGCGGUAAAAGAUGAGUAUGCGUUCUAUUAGCUAGAUGGUAAGGUAACGGCUUACCAUGGCAACGAUAGAUAGGGGCCCUGAGAGGGGGAUCCCCCACACUGGUACUGAGACACGGACCAGACUCCUACGGGAGGCAGCAGUGAGGAAUAUUGGACAAUGGGCGAGAGCCUGAUCCAGCCAUGCCGCGUGCAGGAAGACUGCCCUAUGGGUUGUAAACUGCUUUUAUACGGGAAGAAACCCACCUACGUGUAGGUGGCUGACGGUACCGUAAGAAUAAGGAUCGGCUAACUCCG